ACCGCCCCUAUUCCUCUUCCAUCGGGACUGUGCGAGAGAGAACGAACAGUAAAAACACAGUGCUUCCUUUUCUACGAUAGUUAUACCCCCACUCUUGAAAUUUGGGAGAACGCGCAGUCUAGAUAUAUUAUGUCUAUGGACAGGUGUAUGAUAACGUUCAUAAGUAGUUGAGUUUAUCGCCAUGAAACAUUUUUAGGUUAUCUUUUUAAGUUUGUAGAAAGCUUCGAAUGUCGCAGUCUGUUUUUCGCGAUAUUAAAAAUCAAUGGACUUACUCGAUACCGUCGGUUUAUGUUCGUAAUAGUGAAACAAUGAGAUAAGAUCGAUUUUGUGCACCGACACGAUACUUUGAAAUGGAUGACAAAUCAGAAUCUUCUAACCACGAAAGAAGUUUUACGGAAAAAUAUAACUACACUAAUUUUAUUACAAAGCAAGAUGUUCAAUUAACCGAAGGAUUGACGAUGCAAAAUAGUGUUCUGCAAAAUAAUCAUUAUAGAAGUAACAUAUGCAGAAGUAAAAGUGAUUCAGCAUUAUGGAGGAAAGACAAUGAAAAACUAAAAUUGGACCGAUUAAUGAAGAACAGUAUUAAUUUAAUGAUUAAUUUUGGUACUGACAAAUGUGCUGCUAACAUUCCUGAUACAGAACUUCAAAGUUGUUGCCAUUUACUUAGUAAUGAAAAUUGCUUCUUGUACAAUGAUAGGUCUUUACAUGGUUGUCUUUCCAAAUAUACUAGUUUUUCUUUACCUGCAAUAUCAAUAUCAUCUAUAAAUACAGGUUUAGUAAAAAAUAAAUUUAAUGGAUCUGAUAAUGAUACAUAUACACACAGAAAUGUUGCAACAUGUUUUGAUGAAGAAGAAACAAUAUUUAAUCAGUCAAAUAAAACAAGAAAUGUUCAAUCUGAUUUACAAUGUUUUGUUAAUAAAAACAGUAUUAAUGUUUGUAAAAAUAAGUCAUCAGAAACUGAACAUGAUAAAAAUGAUUUUAAGAAACAUAUAACAAAUAAUAUAUUAAAAAUUGAACAAUCUUGCAAAGAGAUAGCAGAUUUACAUUUAAAUAAUAUUGAAGCUUCAGAUGAAAAAACUGAAAACUGUAAAGAUCUAUAUGAAGAAAAUAGAUUGAACGUACCUUCAACAGUAAAUACCCACAUGCGAAACAGUCUAAUAUCUCAACCAACAUUAGCUGAUGAUAGUAAACUUGUUAAAAUGUCACUUCUGACAAAUCCAAUAAAUAUAAUGCAGUCAAAUGUUCAGCUUUUAAAUAGAAGUCGUAACUUUCUAAACUUCAUAACAGAAAAGUCAACAAAUAUUAUGGAGAAAGCUUUGCUACCACAACAUUUGGCAAUGAAAUAUAAUCAUGUAUUGAAAUCUAUUGAAACUGAUACUAUGGGGGAACUUUGUGCUCCUCUUCCACCAAAUAAAUCUUUAGGAGAUAUAAUAAAUAAAUCAGAUACAGUUUUAACAACACAUACAAAUGAUUCUUUUAUUGUGACGAAUUGCAUUGUGAAACAAGAUUAUGAUAAAAAUGAAAGUAAAUCAGAUAAUACAGCAAAUGAAACAAGUGAAAACAAAGUCGACUUAUUUGCAUCUAUAAAAAAGAAUAAAAUGGACAAGCUUGAGAAUGAGACAGUAUCAAAUAAGAAAAAAUAUUAUACUAUUAACAAAAAUAAUACAGAUAAAUCAGAUUGCAAUAAUACCAAUAGACAAGAAAAGUGCAAUUUUUCAUUGAUGGAAACGGAAGGGAAUAUGAAGACUACAGAAAAAUUACAUGAUGAUAUAUAUAGAACAGAAUCGUCUGAUCUCCAUACCUUACUAGAUUUAGAUACAUCAAAAUAUGGCUCAUUAGAACAUCCGUUACAUCGUAUGUUGUUAGAGGAUUACACCCAUUUAAAACGUAAACACUUAAAAUUAUUGGAAAAAGUGGAUAAUCUGGAGAAAAUAAAUCAAUCAGAUAAUGAAGCACAAGCAAAUACAAAUGCAUACAAUUUGCAAAUGGAGAACUUGGAAAAAGCUAUGAUUAAAUUAACAAUUGAUUUGAAGGCAUCACUGGCCACACAAGAAGCCCUAAAAAAGGAGUGCACCACGAUAAAUAAAGAAAAGGAAAAUAUGGUUAUGAAAUAUGUAAUUAGUGAGAAACAGUUGAUUGAUUCGCAAAGAACAAAAAACUCUGCAGAAUGUAAAGUUAAAGAACUUCUGAAGGAUCAGGAGGUAUUGCAAUGCAAAUUGCGUCAAACACAAGGUGAGCGCGUAAGGAUAUGUGACAUCUUGGAAGUAAGACGUCGUGAAAUUGUUGAUCAUCAAAAGGAAAUAGAGAAAUUGAAAGAAGAUGCUAAAAUGAAGGAAAUCCAAUUAAAAUGGGCACAAAAUAAACUUAAGACUGAAAUGGAUUCACAAAAAGAUACUCAACAGAAAUUGGACAGGGCUCUGAUGAAAAUCAAUGAUAUGAAAGAGGAAUGCGAGCAGAUACGUCGCGAGACGCAAGAAUCAUUCCGCAAAUUUCAACAAUCCGAAGAAAAUAAAGCUGUGACGUUGGAUCAGCAGUUGAAGGAGCAUCAGGCGCGUUUAAUUUUAGAAAGGCACGUUACGGAAGAUAAAGAAACGCUAAGGCUUCAAUUGCAGAAGGAACUAGAAAUUUUAAAAUCUAGACAACAGGAUUUGAUCGAAGAAAACAAGAAACUUAAUUUGAAAGUUCAAGAGUCCGAAAAAAUUCGAUUGGGCUAUGAAAAUAAUUUGAGUGAUUUGAAAAAUGUGGCGAAACAACGUCAAGAACAAAUUAACGGAUUGUUAGACAAAGUUGCUCACUUAGAGACGUUGAAAUUUCAAUUGCAACAUAAAGAAGAGUAUAUAACAUCGGCCGAAGUCGAAAUACAGCAAUUACGAUCGGCUAACGAAGAAUUGCAAUCCGACAUGCAAGCGUGUCGUCAGAAAGAAGCUGAUAUGUUGGAUUUCACGCAAAAAUUAACGGACAAAAACGUACGUCUUCAAUCAGAAUUCAUCAUAAUUCAAAGAAAAGCAGAUUAUCUCGAGUCCGAACAUGGUCCAUUGCGUGAUUGUAUCAACGAAUUAAACAAUAAAGUCAAAGUUUUGGAGAGAGACUUGAUGGAAGAGCAAAAAAAACGAAAAGAAGAAUGCGAAAUUUUAGCUAAGCAUGUCGCUGAACAGACUCAACUUGCGCAAAAUAUUGCCCAGAAAUUGGAGGAUAGUCAAGGCGAGAAUGCAGUAUUAAAAAGGAAACAUCAAAUUUCUAUCAAGGAGCUAACACGGGAAUUGCAACAGUGCCGUAGAAAAUUAGAAAUGUUUGAAGCUGCAUCUCCCAGUAGUUCCUUGGAUAUUGCAUCCAGGACUGGAUCUAAUACUUCUUUAAAUACAGGUGAUACAUUAAACGGUGCCUUAUCGGAUAACAAUGCUAAUGGCGACCAUAUUCACUCUGUAGAACCCAAUAGACAAGUAUUGAUAAAUCACAUUAUAAAACUUCAAGAGAUAAAUGCAAAGAGAGCCGAAAAGCUAGAUUUUUUAGAAGAACAUACUCAAGCAUUGGUCGAAGAGGUGCAGAAGAAAAAGAAAAUCAUACAAAACUAUAUUUUACAACAAAAUUUUGGAGCUUUGGGAUGUAACGAAAGAGAUAGACAUAAGGGUGUGUUUCUUCCGGAUGGAUACUGCGUUGUAAUUCAGCUUUAUGCCGACGUUUCGCAAACAUUGCAACUUGCAUCAUUAGGACUAGGAGCUCCGAUACUGAGUUUUUCUGGUACAUUAGAUCCUGAACGAUGGCAGACACUGGACCGAGUGACGUACGAACAAGCUGUUCGCUUCGCUGAAGAAAAACGCGGGAGCAGAAAAAAAAGUACAACAAAAUCAAUCCACAAGCCCAAACACCAGUUCUCGCAGAUAUAGCAAAGAACAUAAGCAAACAAACCCUAUCUCCAUCUGAGAUCACCGUCUUCGCCAAAGGACACGAUUUCACAGUUACACCAUCCAGUAUUCCCAUAGAGGAAAUAAUCAGCCAAGUGGAGACGGCUAUCUACCAUCUUAUUCCGGAAGCUAGCAACGACAUCAGAAAUCGGAUCGGAGAGCCAACAUUCUCCGCAAGGCCAAAGCCCCUGUACAGAACAUAAGACGAGAAGAAAAUCUAGCGUCCAAAAACUUAAAGAAGGACAAGAUCUGAAUCCUACCAGCUGACAAAUAAAACGCCACAGUGGUUAUGUAUAGGGAAGAGUACUGCAACAAAGUGAAUAUUAUGCUCUCAGACCACAAAAUCUACAAGAAACUUAAACGCAACUCAACUUCGAGCGUAGAAAAGAAAACAGCUACUUUGCUCAAAAACUCAAGUCUCCCUGCGCCAAUUAUCAAAUAUUUAACUCCCCGAAAAUCUUCAGCACCCAGAUUGUAUGGUCUUCCUAAGAUUCACAAGGAAUGGGUUCCCCUACGCCCAAUCGUUAGCAAUAUCGGUGGAGCUACCUAUCAACUAGCCCGCUAUCUCACAAAACCCCUCCAGAAGCUCACUGGGCUCAAUGACUCACACAUAAAGAACUCAAUGGAUUUCAUAAAGAAGGUAACAAAGAUGAAGACAGGAACUAAUGACAUCUUAUUCCAAGGGGAAUUCUUCGAACAAACAUCAGGAGCUGCAAUGGGAUCUCCAGUGUCGCCGACCAUUGCCAACAUUUUUAUGGAAUACUUUGAGAAUGAAGUCCAGAAGAACGCACCUCUUAAACCUUCGGUAUGAUUUCGAUAUGUGGAUGAUACGUUUGUCAUUUGGAGUCAUGGCAAGGAAACGCUUCCCCAAUUUCUUGACUUCCUAAAUUCAUUGCAUCCAAAUAUCCAGUUUACAAUGGAGGUGGAACAAAAUAAACAAAUUCCUUUUCUGGACGUACUGGUUCGAAGGAACGAAGAUGGCACACUAAGUCACCGAAUUUACCGAAAACCCACACAUACUGACCGAUAUCUACACGCAACCUCUCAUCACCAUCCAGCACAAAAGAAAUCUGUCAUCAGUUUCCUGGUCUACAGAGCCUUAAAAAUUUCUGAAACAGCUUCCUUAGAUGAAGAAUUAGAACACCUCAAUCGGACCUCAACCAACAACGGAUACGAGAGUAAAGACAUCAAUCGAGUAACCUAUAAACUUAAGAACAAAAUUUCGGAUCCGAACAACACCCAAGAGCCAAAGGAAGAAAGAGUAAAAACUGAGUCACCAGAGGAAGAAAGAGAAAAGGACAAGACGGUUGUCCUCCCACAUCUUCAAGGUAUAAUAGAACGUAUUGGCAGGAAUCUAAACAAACAUAACAUCAGAGUGAUUUUCAAGACACCAAUAAAGAUCUCACAAUUACUCCCCAACCGAAAGACGAGAAACCACACUUGGACACCAGGUGUGUAUAAGAUCCCUUGUGCAUGCAGAAAAAUAUAUAUAGGAGAAACCGGGAAGAGGAUUAGUACACGGAUCAAAGAAUGCGAUGUACCAAAUACGGUCACUUUUCUCAAUCUGCCUUGGCUGAACACUGGAUGAAGACUGGAUACACCGUGCAAUUUGACAAAACAACCAUUCUGAUCCUCUUACAAAACUAUUACGCCAGAAAACAUCGAGAAGGGUUGGAAAUUCUGAAACAUCCCAACAAUGUUAACCGACACUUUUUGCAUAGACGUGGCAAGAACGUGGCAAGCACAUCGCUAUGAUGUCAUUACGUUGUAGCGACGUGCUUGCCACGUACGGUACAGUCCGGAGAGAUAAGGAUCUUCAGGUGAACCCUAUUUGGCAAGCUGUUCUCCCGGGUUUUAAUUUAUCAGCUGGCCAAUUAAUAUGAUUGGUAGAACAUUUCCCCCACCCCGUUCCCCAUUUCUCCCAACUCCACUUAGAAGAAUGGAAGAGUAUAUAAGGACAACUACAAACCAGGAAGACUCAGUAUCGGAGCUUCUAGCCCUGAUGAUGUAAGCUGAAAUGUUUGCGAAACGUCGACACAAAGCUGAAUUACAAUGCGGUAUCCAUCUAGAAGAAACACACCCUGAUUGUGUCAAUGGUCGCCAAAGUCUAAAAACUAGUAACUUGUAUUCAUAUUUGUAUUGCACUUAAAUAACGACAAAUUAAUACAAAGCCGCGUUAUGUCUAUAAUAAUAGACAUUGUUAUUUCUUUUUUUUUUUU
RNA transcript from Harpegnathos saltator (Jerdon's jumping ant), 6121 nucleotides. It is a transcript of the gene named coiled-coil domain-containing protein 186, with no coding region annotated. The record is from RefSeq and is a predicted model, not a curated record. The transcript has 9 exons. Lineage: Eukaryota; Metazoa; Arthropoda; Insecta; Hymenoptera; Formicidae.